Molecule: ribosomal RNA, 445 nt
Filed under: uncultured bacterium
Lineage: Bacteria
Description: partial 16S ribosomal RNA
Rfam family: Bacterial small subunit ribosomal RNA
Source: RNAcentral
GUAGGGAAUAUUGGGCAAUGGAUGCAAGUCUGACCCAGCCAUCCCGCGUGCCGGAAGAAGGCCCUCAGGGUUGUAAACGGCUUUUGACGGUGAAGAAUCGACAGGAUGCGUCCUGUUUUGACGGUGGCCGUUGAAUAAGCACCGGCUAACUCCGUGCCAGCAGCCGCGGUAAUACGGAGGGUGCGAGCGUUGUCCGGAUUUAUUGGGUUUAAAGGGUGCGUAGGCUGGAAGGUCAGUCAGCGGUGAAAAGCUGUCGCUUAACGAUAGUCUUGCCGCAGAUACUUCCUUUCUUGGAUGAGGAGGAGGCCACUGGAACGGAUGGUGUAGCGGUGAAAUGCAUAGAUAUCAUCCAGAACACCGAUUGCGAAGGCAGGUGGCUGUACCUUAAUCGACGCUGAUGCACGAAAGCAUGGGGAGCAAACAGGAUUAGAAACCCCGGUAGUCC